CAAAACAGUCGCCUCCACAGCCCUCUCUCUUCUCUCACCAGAAAAUAAUAACCACAUCAACCCACCCCGCCGCCUCUCACUAGUCGGCGGAACCCCACUUUCCUUCUGUUCUUUCUCUUUCUCCGGCGACUUCACCAAAUGAACGUCGUUUAACAAACAAAACCCCACAAUAGACACUGCUUCCACCACCGGCGAAUCCAAGCCAGCUGCACCUCUGCCAAAACAAUACCGGAGCUCCGUAGGCAAACCCAACAAAAAAACCACUAUCGUCGCUGCUCCAUCAACGAAAACAUCUUGCUAUCUGGCACGUGAGAUUUUUAGUACUUGAAUUUCCAAAAAACCACCGUCGUAAGGUAAUAAAGAUGUGACUUUUUCUUUGCAAACUGUUUUGCCUACAAGAUGAACUUGAAUAUCAGUAGUUGACCAUUCUAAUUAGGAGUUAGGACAACAAUUUAAACAUUUUUUAAAAUUAUUAAUUUUUUACUGAAUAUGGUUUGUAAGGAUGGAGACUGAAAGUUGUGUAUUUGGCUAAAUAAAUUAUGUAUGAUGAAAGAUCUGUUUAAAAUCCCUAUUUUUCUCCAUUUGGGAGUCCAGUAAGCAUGGUAUAUUGAUUAUAAGAAUAAGAAAAGGAAUUCAGCUAAAGUAUAUUUAACAAGAUCAAGUGAUUUUUUUUACUCUAUUCUAGAGUUUUAGCUCUUCUAUGUUGACACAGACCUUCUAUAUCUCUUCUCAUUUGUAACAUGAUUAUUAAUUGUUUUCCAUUCUAAUUUAUGUGGCAUAGUUUAAAUUGAUACAAGUUUAAGUUAAAAUUAAAGAUGUUUCAAGCUUUUUUAAUAGAGAUAAUUAAGAGGCAGAACAUACAACUAAAAAGUACUGUAUUCAAGAAUUUGUAUUUAAGUUAAUAAUGUGGUUGAUUAGUAGGACUAACAAUUGCAUUAUUAUUCAUUACCGUCAAGUUUAUUUGUAUUUAAGCUAGUAAUUCGGUUGACUAGUAGGACUAACAAUUGCAUUAUUAUUCAUUACCGUCAAGUUUAUUUGUAUUUAAGCUAGUAAUGCGGUUGACUAGUAGGACUAACAAGUGCUUUAUUGUUCAUUGCUGUUAAGUUAAUUUGUAUUUAAGUUAGUAAUAUGGUUAACUGGUAGGACUAUGAAGUGCAUUAUUUUUCAUUACUGUCAAGUUAUAUUAAGUACUCCGUUUCAAUUUGUUUGUCUGAUUUAAUUUUGAACGGAGUUUAACAAAGUGAAGAACAUUUUAAAAUCUUAUGAUCUUAAAUUAAAACUGUAUAUAAUGAUCAAGUGUAGUAUUUUGAAAUGUGUACUACUGACUUCAAAAUGAUCAAGUGACGUCACUUGAGAAGUGGAUUAGUGACUUGAAAAAUAGUUAAGUGUAGCGACUUGAAAUGUGAAUUAGUUACUUGAAAAUGGCCAAGUGUAGUCACUUGAAAUGUGUACUAGUGAGUUGAAAAUGGUUAAUUAUAGUGACUUGAAAAUGUUUAAGUAUAGUGACUUGAAAUGUCAAUUAGCUAUUUGAAAAUGGUUUGAGUGUAGUGACUUGAAAUGUGUACUAGUGACUUGAAAAUGAUCAAGUGUAGUUACUUGAAAUUGUGAAUUUAUGACUUGAAAAUAAUUAAGUGUAGUUAUUUAAAAUUGUGAACUUGUGACUUGAAAAUGGUUAAGUUUAGUCAAUUGAAAUGUGUACUAAUAACUUGAAAAUAAUAAAGUAUCGUUACUUGAAAAUUGUUAAGAAUAGUAACUUCAAAUGUGAAUUAGUUACUUGAAAAUGAUUAAGUGUAGUGACUUGAAAUGUGAACUAGUCACUUGAAAAUGGUCAAGUGUAGUCACUUGAAAUGUGUACUAGUGAAUUGAAAAUGGUUUAAGUGUAGUACUUGAAAUGUUUACUAGUGACUUUAAAAUGGUCUAGCCAUUUGAAAUUUUGAACGUGUGACUUUAAAAUGAUUAAGUGUAAUUACUUGAAAUGUAUACUUAUGACUUUAAAAUGAGUAAGUGUAGUGACUUGAAAUGUUUACUUGUGACUUUAAAAUGGUUAAGUGUAGUCACUUGGAUGUGAACUAAGUUACUUGAAAUUGUGAACUUGUGACUUGAAAUAAUUAAAUGUAGUGUCUUGAAAUGUAUACUAGUUACUUGAAAAUAAUUAAGUGUAGUGACUUGAAAUGUAUACUAGUGACUUUAAAAUGAUUAAGUGUAGUGACUUGAAAUGUGUACCAGUGACUUGAAAAUAGUUAAGUGUAGUUACUUGAAAAUGGUUUAAUAUAGUUACUUGAAAUGUGUACUAGUGACUUAAAAAUGGUUAAGUGUAGUUACUUGAAAUGUGAAUUAGUUACUUGAAAGUGGUUAAGUAUAGUGACUUGAAAUGAAUGAUUUAGUGACUUGAAGAUAGUUAAAUAUAGUUAUUUAAAAUGUGAAGUACUUACUUGAAAAUGGUUAAGUACAUUGACUUGAAAUGUGAGUUAAUUAUUUGAAAAUAGUUAAGUAUAGUGAUUUGAAACGUAUACUAGUGACUUGAAAAUGAUUAAGUGUAGCGACUUGCAAUGUGAAUUAGUUAUUUGAAAAUCGUUAAGUGUAGUGACUUGAAAUGUGUGCUAGUGAGUUGAUAAUGGUUAAGUGUAGUUACUUGAAAUGUGAAUUUGUGUUUUGAAUUUACUAAAGUGUGGUAACGUGAGAACUGAUUUAAUAACUUGAAAAUAUUUAAGUUUAGGUACUUGAAAGGUGAACUUUUAUUUUGAAUUUACUCAAGUGUGGUCACUUGAGAAGUGAAUUAGUUACUUGAAAAUCCAAUUGUUGGGGGGGGUGGGGGUGGGGUGGAUAAGUGCGGAUAACUUGGGUAAAAAAUAGAUCUAUUAUAGCUCUAAUGGAUCUAUUUUUAUUUGUGCGUGGAUAUUUCUUAACUUCUCUAAACAUUUUUUAUUUUUAGUGUAUUUAUUUUAAUUUUAUUAAUGUUCAUAUCUUGGGGGUGAUUAGAUGGUAUUUGAUUAAAUGCUUUACUGUAAUAUUCUUUAGUUUUUUUCACUUAGUCUUUGUAAUUCUUGUAUAUUAUUUUGGAGGUAUUCAAAAUAUUCUAUAUCUUUUAUUCUAAAAUAUUCAAUUAAAGUAUUUCUGUUAAUCUCAUUUCUUCCAUAUCUUGUCCCUAAUAGUUUAAAUACUCAUAGUAUAUCAUUUUAUCCUAAAGUAGUUGUGAUACUGCAAAUUUCUUUGGAAUAAUUUAUUCUAAUUGUACUAUAUCUGAUAUUAAGUUCUAGGUUAUCUAUUUUGCUAAUUAUCCUGUCUUUUUCGUCUAUGAAUAAUUAUAUAUCUAAAUCAUAUUCUAAACUGUCUUUUAAUUCUAAUUGUUUUAUGGUUUUAUUUAUCCAAAUUAAUCUUUCUUUUAAUUAUUCUCUUCCUUUUCUAAGCUGGUUUCUAUAAUUAAUUUCUUCGUAUAGCCAACUUUGUUCUUUGAAUAUAUUCUAGCAUUUCUUAAUCUGUAUAAUAUCCAUCUGAAUAAUUAUCUAGGUAGUAAUAGUGAUUGUCAUCACUUAAGUAUAUUUCUCCUAACUCAUCUUCUAUCUGAUUUAUAUCUAACUCUUCAUCUUCAAUGUUAAAUAUUUUUUCCCAUAUUAUUUUUUUUACGUUUAUAAUUUCUAUAUCUCUAAGUAUGUAUAAAACUAGUGCUUCAAAAUUAUCUAUCAUUUAGGUGGGUUAAUUAAAUUCUUUUUCAUAAUUUUCUUUAGUUGUUUGUUUUAAUCUUAUUAAUUCCUCUAUAUUUUCAUUAAGAUAUUCUGGUUUAGUAUGUAGGUAUAUGUAAGAGUAGUUAGGUAGGUGUGAUAUAUAAUUUAUUCUAGUCAUAAAACAUUUAUCAAAUAUUUUUUUCAAUAUUAUUUUUCUUAUAUCUACAAUUUCUAUAUCCUUAAGUACAUACAAAACAAGUAUUUUAAAUUUAUCUAACAUUUCGUCAGAUAAAUAAGUAUUCAUUUUUCAUAUGAUGCCUUUUCAAAAUAUUCCCUUCAAUCAUACACAUAACAAAAUAUGAUCAUUUUAGAUUACUAUAUACUAGAUUAUUCUUAAAUAACAUGUUCUCUGGUCACUAUUAGCAUGGUAAUCUGGAUACUAUUCCCUUAAACAGUGCCUCUACUCUGGCUACUCCCCUAUCACGGCUUUCUUGCCUCAUCGGUUUCACCCUUAGGAUGACAUAGUUCUUAGAGAUUUUUUUCCUUUUCUGCUUUGCUAAUAAACUUCUUAACAUGCUAUUUUUUUAAUAAUUCUACUAUAAAGUAACUAACAAGAACUUAUUUUAUGAAAUCAUGAUUGUCAGGAAUUUAUGAAUUUAGCUAUUCAUAAUCGUAAAUAAAUAUACCUGUUCUGGUAGGUUUGAUAAUUCUGAGCUUUGUUCAUCUAUAGCUUUUCCUUAGAAAUAUAUCUGUUUUUUAUUAAAUAUUCA
This 4432-nucleotide long non-coding RNA is filed under the name Capsicum annuum. Its description in RNAcentral is "long non-coding RNA (CANN_LNC020364)". Lineage: Eukaryota; Viridiplantae; Streptophyta; Magnoliopsida; Solanales; Solanaceae. The record is from RNAcentral.